AGCAACUUGCUGAAGUUCACAUGGCCUGUAAGUGUCAGAACUGGGAUUCGGACCUGAUGCCAACUCCCUCCAAAGCCUGACAUUUAUAGCUUCACUCUAGGCUUCCCAAUGAAAUUUAUGAAUAUUUAACGGUGGGGGCAGACAUAUCAUAAUGGUUGUAGAUUACUUUUAAUUGCGGAGAUCAACGUUAAAAGAAGUAACCUGCAAUUAUGUGUUGGAGAUUAAAAGCAUCAACUCUAGCAGAUGAACAUCUUUAAAAGUUCCUCUGCCGAUGCUUCCUUUUUACUGAAACCCAGCUUGAAGACACUGGGUAAGAGAAGCCUUGAUCAGGGUUCAUGAAGAUCAGCUUCUGCGGAGCAAGAGAAGCAGAGACUGCAUUUGGAGGGGAAUGAAUUUACCUACAGAGGUAUACAUAGAUUUCUGGAUGGUGCUAGAUGGAUGGAGCACUGCUCUGCCACAGGCCAGUCAUGUCUGAUCGCCCAUCCUCACCAGCUUCAGUCCAGGCCAGGUUCUUGGCCUUGAGUGGGGUUUCAUCUGAUUCAUGCCUGGAUUAUAGUCACUCACGCACGACACCUAGACCAGUCAGAUGUUCAGCAAUAAAACAUGCCUAUACGGGGAAAGGAUUUUCUACCUGGCAAUAUAUAUAUUUUCACUUCUUCAAAAUAUAAAUUAAAAAGAUAGCCAAUAUAUGUCUGAAGUUAACCAGGUAACAUUAUCUACUUUGCAAGUCAGAAGAUAAAUUUUAGAAAGAGGGCAAUAGCUCUACAUGCAAAGACUAAUCUGGAAGCAGACAGAUGGCAUUGCAAAAGAAGGCCAUCCACACACGUUUCCUUGAAUGAACAAGAUGUUUUGCUUGUGCCUUGUUUGGUGACUUGAACUACUGCUGCAAAGGGCAUGUUCACAAACUUGAGACAAGCAGGAAAACAAAUUUAGAAAAAUUAGUAAAUGUAAAGAUCACCGUGAAAGUACUACCUAGGACCUAAAAUGAACAAAACAAAACAAACUCUUUCUAUUGUGUGAGUUUUUGCAACUAAAAUGCUUUUUAAAUGAAUCUAAAAGAUCUAUAACAAUUUUAGAUUUUUAGGAUAGUGACAUGAGGUAUGUAUUACAAACAACAUAUGUUGUUGGGUUGUUGUUUCUUUUCUUUUUUUUUUUUUUUAAGUAUUUUACAGUUUCUUGGCCAUAUUGUCCUCUAAAAAGAUGUGAUAAACUACACAUGACAUAAAUUGUGCCAUUUUGGUCAUUUUUAAGGGUACAAUUUGGUGGCAUGAAGUACAUUCACAUUAUUAUGCAACCAUCACCACCAUUUAUCCUCAGAACUCUUGCAUAUUCCCCAACUAAAAACUCUGCUUAUUGAACAGCAAUUUCCCAUUACUCCCCUAGCCCACUCCCUUGAAACUCCACCAUUCCACUUUCUGUCUCUAUGACUUACACUACUUUAGGAACCUCAUAAGAAGCUCUUUAGUGACUGGCUAUUAUGUUUUUUAGGUCUAUUCAUGAUACAGCAGGUAUCCCAAUUUUCUUUAUCCAUUCCUGUGUCAAGGGGUACUUGGGUUGCUUCUAUCUUUUGGCUAUUAUGAAUAAUAAUGUUGCUCUGAACAGGAAUGUACAAAUACCUAUUUGAGUCCUGGAACUGGAAUUGUUGAAUCAUAUGAUAAUCUUAUGUUUCAUUUUUCCAGUAUCUGUCACACAAUUUUCCAGAGCUGCUGCACCAUUUUACAUCCAAUCAAUAGUGCACUAGGGCUACAAUUUCUCCAUGUCUUCACUAACACUUGUUAUUUUAUUUUUUGUUGUGUUUAAUUAAUGGCCAUUCUAGUGGAUGUGAAGAGGUAUUUUAUUGUGGUUGUAUUUCUUUUUAUAGGAUUUUCACCCAGUAGCAACCAACUGACAAGAACUGACCAAAACCAAGCUUAUGACAUUUUCUUCAUCCUUUCUCACCCUAACUUUUAGGUUUACAGACAUUUCUUUCUAUAGUUAGAAUUCCAGAGAUCUAUAUGAUUAUAAAUUGAGGUCAAGAUUCCAUUUAGUAGGUAACAAAACAAACUCAGUUUGUGGAAAUUAAACACAGUCAACAUGUGUAGGUCUGAUUUCAAAGGUAUUCUAUUAUUAUCUAUCAUAGGCAUUGUGGAAAUUAAUUUUGAAAAUACACAAAUUUCUAACAUAAGAUUCUUCCUUGAUAGGGGUCCUCUUAAAUAAAAUAUCAUAAUUUUGACAGUUAAUUAUGAACUAGAAAUAUGCAGAUUAAAAUGACUUUGGACAUCAGGAAAGCAUUUGGUAUAUUUUAUCUGAAAGGAGCUCUGCAUGAGUCCGUCUGUUUCAUGAACAAAUUAGUCAAAAGAUAAAUGACUUAAUUUUGCUCCUUUCCUGCCUCAGGCUUUUUAAAAUAUCUCAGGUGGUCUAAUGGAAUUGGGCAACAACAUGGAAUUUAAUAGAAUAUUAUUUGCCUGGUUACCAUUCUUACUGUUAUUGACAUAUAAUUGAAAAAUACAAAGUAAGAAUUUUCUCCAAUUGUGUAAAAAAUUACAUUUCCUUUUUUUGUUUCCUCAUGAAAUCCAAAGUCAUAAUAACCUCCAUUUUGUAAUUGCAGGUUAAAUUGAAACUGAUGAAUUUAUUAAUGUUGAUUACUUAAUAAGUAACCAAAUUGUUUUUCUAUUUUAUUUGUAUUUUAAAUCUUUGGAAUGACAAUUUUCAAAAAUACAUUGGCUCAGAGUAUUUUACAUCUUACUUGAACAAUUGCACUACAUUGUUUGUGUUCCUUAAAGUUGCAUAAUUUUAAAAUAUUUGGACUAAGAGGAAACAAAGAAACUAACCAAACCUGCACAUUAAUUUUGAAGAAGCAAGAAUUGAUUCCUAGAAAAAUUAGACUUACUCAACAUGGGCUCCCUGGUUAAUUCAUAUAGGCUUGGAUUAAACUUCUGACUGGUCAGGUAGUAAUCGGUUUGUUAUCCACUUUAUAUCAACUGUCAUGCCACAGCCCCAUUGCAAAAACGGCUACAUAAGGUAGACGAUUAGGUAAAUAAAUUCAAGUAUUGGUUUAUUUAUUAAUACUGAACUGCUUUUGUUGGAAACCUUUCUAAAAUGUGUUUGGUUUCUUGUCCUUAAUUGAUGUACAAAAAAACCAAAAAAGAUUGUAACAUUCAUUCUGUGUGAUGAUUUCUAUAUUAUGUUGUUUCAGAAAAUCGGGUUUUUUACUCAAAUCCACAUUCCCCAUUCUGGUAUAGAGGAAGGCUCUGUGACAAAUGUUUAGGUGCUGAAAGUUUUUCCCCCCACUCUCUGUGAUGAAGAUGGCAUAAAACUAGACCUCUGAAUGAAUGAGUUAUUCCUUAAAUUGUAACUAAGAAAACUUAUUGCCUUCUUUUUUUUAAAACAUCAAUUAUGGACACUGAAUCAUUAUUCAUAUUUAGCAUCCCAAGGAAAUGGGUUUAAGACAGAAAAGCCUUCUUCAUUUGCUGAUUGUUGUUAUUACCCUCCUAAACACUGUCCACAUCUAUCUUACCUUUAAAUAUGUCAAAACUUCUUAAAAUUGGAAUUUACUGAACCUAAUAAAAUGAAAUAAA
Molecule: long non-coding RNA, 3557 nt
Organism: Canis lupus familiaris (dog)
Lineage: Eukaryota; Metazoa; Chordata; Mammalia; Carnivora; Canidae
Exons: 5
Source: RefSeq, a predicted model, not a curated record